Molecule: ribosomal RNA, 481 nt
Filed under: uncultured bacterium
Lineage: Bacteria
Description: partial 16S ribosomal RNA
Rfam family: Bacterial small subunit ribosomal RNA
Source: RNAcentral
GAUGAACGCUGGCGGCGUGCUUAACACAUGCAAGUCGAACGAAACACCUUAUUUGAUUUUCUUCGGAACUGAAGAUUUGGUGAUUGAGUGGCGGACGGGUGAGUAACGCGUGGGUAACCUGCCCUGUACAGGGGGAUAACAGUCAGAAAUGACUGCUAAUACCGCAUAAGACCACAGCACCGCAUGGUGCAGGGGUAAAAACUCCGGUGGUACAGGAUGGACCCGCGUCUGAUUAGCUGGUUGGUGAGGUAACGGCUCACCAAGGCGACGAUCAGUAGCCGGCUUGAGAGAGUGAACGGCCACAUUGGGACUGAGACGCGGCCCAAACUCCUACGGGAGGCAGCAGUGGGGAAUAUUGCACAAUGGGGGAAACCCUGAUGCAGCGACGCCGCGUGAGUGAAGAAGUAUUUCGGUAUGUAAAGCUCUAUCAGCAGGGAAGAAAAUGACGGUACCUGACGAAGAAGCCCCGGCUAACUACGUG